Long non-coding RNA from Hyla sarda, 214 nucleotides. RefSeq lists it as uncharacterized. Lineage: Eukaryota; Metazoa; Chordata; Amphibia; Anura; Hylidae. The record is from RefSeq and is a predicted model, not a curated record. The transcript is spliced from 3 exons.
AACCAAUGUUUUAUUGUCUGCAGUCCAGAAAAAGCAAGUGAAGAAAGGAACAUCUGCCCAUGUGCUCCGCGUUUCUGCUGCGCGAGGGAUUCAGUGCCAACCCAGGCAUUGAUACCAAUGUUAGUAAGAUAGAAAAAAUGGAGGAUGCAACUCAGCUCAGUCCCCACACGGACCAAAAAUAGGAGGGCUUGCUCUAUAUUCUGCAGCGCUGGAG